RNAcentral lists this ribosomal RNA (457 nucleotides) under uncultured Sphingobacteriales bacterium. RNAcentral describes it as "bacterial SSU rRNA". It matches the Rfam family "Bacterial small subunit ribosomal RNA", at positions 923 to 1382 of the family's 1533-position model. The record is from RNAcentral. Lineage: Bacteria; Pseudomonadati; Bacteroidota; Sphingobacteriia; Sphingobacteriales.
GCACAAGCGGAGGAACAUGUGGUUAAUUCGAUGAUACGCGAGGAACCUUACCUGGGCUUAAAUGUAGAGUGCAUUUUUUAGAGAUAGAAAUUCCCUUCGGGGCUUUCUGCAAGGUGCUGCAUGGUUGUCGUCAGCUCGUGCCGUGAGGUGUCGGGUUAAGUCCCAUAACGAGCGCAACCCUUAUCGUUAGUUGCCAGCUGGUAAAGCAGGGGACUCUAGCGAAACUGCCACCGUAAGGUGAGAGGAAGGUGGGAUGACGUCAAAUCAGCACGGCCCUUAUGUCCAGGGCUACACACGUGUUACAAUGGCCGGCACAGAGGGCAGCUACCUGGUGACAGGAUGCUAAUCUCGAAAACCGGUCUCAGUUCGGAUCGAAGUCUGCAACCCGACUUCGUGAAGCUGGAUUCGCUAGUAAUCGCGCAUCAGCCAUGGCGCGGUGAAUACGUUCCCGGGCCUU